GCAAACUUGGUCAUUUAGAGGAAGUAAAAGUCGUAACAAGGUUUCCGUAGGUGAACCUGCGGAAGGAUCAUCAAUGAAUUUCCAAAUUCAUCUUGGCUUUGAGUGAAGAACUUUUCGGCAUUUUGCUGGAUAGUUUGUAACCCAUUGCCUUUAUCAACCAGGAGUCGCUGUCUAAGUAACGAAGGUGUCUUGGGAGCUUGCCUUUUAUGAAGGCACGCACCAAUUACGCAAGCCCUUUGUGAAACGACUUUGACUUUUUGAGUAGGAUUUUGGUUUGGGUUCCUGCGGGAACUUUUAACCUCUCUUACUCAUUUACUGUGGGCAUCAUAUUUAAUUAAAAUACAACUUUUAACGAUGGAUCUCUUGGCUCCCGCAUCGAUGAAGAACGCAGC
RNAcentral lists this unclassified non-coding RNA (392 nucleotides) under uncultured fungus. Its description in RNAcentral is "partial contains small subunit ribosomal RNA, internal transcribed spacer 1, and 5.8S ribosomal RNA". The stretch from base 1 to 73 matches the Rfam family "Eukaryotic small subunit ribosomal RNA", at positions 1759 to 1831 of the family's 1831-position model. The record is from RNAcentral. Lineage: Eukaryota; Fungi.